RNAcentral lists this ribosomal RNA (467 nucleotides) under uncultured bacterium. Its description in RNAcentral is "partial 16S ribosomal RNA". It matches the Rfam family "Bacterial small subunit ribosomal RNA", at positions 28 to 507 of the family's 1533-position model. The record is from RNAcentral.
GACGAACGCUGGCGGCGUGCUUAGCACAUGCAAGUCGAACGGAAAGGCCUCUUUCGGGGGGUACUCGAGUGGCGAACGGGUGAGUAACACGUGAGUAACCUGCCCUUGACUUUGGGAUAACUUCAGGAAACUGGGGCUAAUACCGGAUAGGAGCUCCUGCUGCAUGGUGGGGGUUGGAAAGUUUCGGCGGUUGGGGAUGGACUCGCGGCUUAUCAGCUUGUUGGUGGGGUAGUGGCUUACCAAGGCUUUGACGGGUAGCCGGCCUGAGAGGGUGACCGGCCACAUUGGGACUGAGAUACGGCCCAGACUCCUACGGGAGGCAGCAGUGGGGAAUAUUGCACAAUGGGUGGAAGCCGGAUGCAGCAACGCCGUGUGCGGGAUGACGGCCUUCGGGUUGUAAACCGCUUUCGCUCAUGACGAAGCUUUGUGUGACGGUAGUGGGUAAAGAAGCACCGGCUAACUACGUG